GACGAACGCUGGCGGCGUGCUUAACACAUGCAAGUCGAACGGAAAGACGCUGCUUUUGUUUCGUUCUCGAUUGCCGAACGCGUGAGUAACACGUGUGUAUCCUGCCCUUGUCUUUCGGAUAACUCCAGGAAAAUGUGUCUCAUACCGCGUAGAAUCUCUUGAUGCAUGGUGUUCAUUGGAAAGUUUCGGCUGUGUUGUAUGGACUCGCUGCUUAUGAGCUGCUUGGUGUGGUAGUGGCUUACCAGGCCUUCGACGGGUAGCCGGCCUGAGAGGGUGGCCGGCGACAUUGGGACUGCGAUACGGAGCAGAAGCCUACGGUCGGCAGCAGUGGAGAACAUGGCACAGUGGGCGCACGCCUGAUGUAGCAACGCUGCGUGCGGGAUGACGGCUUUCGAGUUGUAAACAGCUUUGGCCUGUGACGAAGAGUGAGUGACGGUAAUGGGUAAAGAAGCAACGGCUAACUACGUG
RNAcentral lists this ribosomal RNA (468 nucleotides) under uncultured bacterium. Its description in RNAcentral is "partial 16S ribosomal RNA". It matches the Rfam family "Bacterial small subunit ribosomal RNA", at positions 28 to 507 of the family's 1533-position model. The record is from RNAcentral.